This 79-nucleotide transfer RNA is filed under the name Candidatus Bathycorpusculum sp. RNAcentral describes it as "tRNA-Pro". It matches the Rfam family "tRNA". Rfam says of the family: Transfer RNA (tRNA) molecules are approximately 80 nucleotides in length. Their secondary structure includes four short double-helical elements and three loops (D, anti-codon, and T loops). The record is from RNAcentral. Lineage: Archaea; Thermoproteati; Candidatus Bathyarchaeota; Bathyarchaeia (SeqCode); Bathyarchaeales (SeqCode); Candidatus Bathycorpusculaceae.
GGGGCCGUCGUCUAGCUUGGAUUAGGAUACAUGCUUGGGGUGCAUGCGAUCCUGGGUUCGAAUCCCAGCGGCCUCACCA